AUACGAAGGGGGCUAGCGUUGUUCGGAAUUACUGGGCGUAAAGCGUACGUAGGCGGACUGAUCAGUUGGGGGUGAAAUCCCAGGGCUUAACCCUGGAACUGCCUUCAAUACUGUCAGUCUUGAGAUUGGAAGAGGUGAGUGGAAUUCCUAGUGUAGAGGUGAAAUUCAUAGAUAUUAGGAGGAACACCAGUGGCGAAGGCGGCUCACUGGUCCAAUACUGACGCUGAGGUACGAAAGCGUGGGGAGCAAACAGGAUUAGAAACCCUAGUAGUCC
Molecule: ribosomal RNA, 274 nt
Filed under: uncultured bacterium
Lineage: Bacteria
Description: partial 16S ribosomal RNA
Rfam family: Bacterial small subunit ribosomal RNA
Source: RNAcentral